AUUUUAUGAUGGGUACAGCUUGUACACAGCUUUUUAAAUCACUCCCAAUACUCAUACAAGCUCUCUUCAUUGUACUGCCGGAUGCUACAAAUUUCUUUUCUUAUAUU
Hevea brasiliensis (rubber tree) is the source of this 107-nucleotide small nucleolar RNA. The record is from RefSeq and is a predicted model, not a curated record. NCBI's taxonomy places the organism in Eukaryota, Viridiplantae, Streptophyta, Magnoliopsida, Malpighiales, Euphorbiaceae.